GCUGGGCUUCCUGAGUCACAUCCUGACACAGCUCUUGUCCUGGUGUGCUAGAGCCCUCAGAGAGAAUCUGCUGGCCUUGAGUCACUGGCGGGCAAUCAGUGCCCCCAGGGGUGCCCAGAUCAGAAACAUGC
This is a small nucleolar RNA of Rhinolophus ferrumequinum (greater horseshoe bat), 131 nucleotides long. NCBI's taxonomy places the organism in Eukaryota, Metazoa, Chordata, Mammalia, Chiroptera, Rhinolophidae. The record is from Ensembl.